RNAcentral lists this ribosomal RNA (484 nucleotides) under uncultured bacterium. RNAcentral's name for it is "partial 16S ribosomal RNA". It matches the Rfam family "Bacterial small subunit ribosomal RNA", at positions 30 to 507 of the family's 1533-position model. The record is from RNAcentral.
AUUGAACGCUGGCGGCAGGCCUAACACAUGCAAGUCGAGCGGAUGAAGGGAGCUUGCUCCUGGAUUCAGCGGCGGACGGGUGAGUAAUGCCUAGGAAUCUGCCUGGUAGUGGGGGAUAACGUCCGGGAACGGGCGCUAAUACCGCAUACGUCCUGAGGGAGAAAGUGGGGGGUCUUCGGACCUCACGCUAUCAGGUGAGCCUAGGUCGGAUUAGCUAGUCGGUGGGGUAAAGGCCUACCAAGGCGCCGAUCCGUAACUGGUCUGAGAGGAUGAUCAGUCACACUGGAACUGAGACACGGUCCAGACUCCUACGGGAGGCAGCAGUGGGGAAUAUUGGACAAUGGGCGAAAGCCUGAUCCAGCCAUGCCGCGUGUGUGAAGAAGGUCUUCGGAUUGUAAAGCACUUUAAGCUGGGAGGAAGGGCAGUAAGUUAAUACCUUGCUGUUUUGACGUUACCAACAGAAUAAGCACCGGCUAACUUCGUG